Molecule: ribosomal RNA, 270 nt
Filed under: uncultured archaeon
Lineage: Archaea
Description: partial 16S ribosomal RNA
Rfam family: Archaeal small subunit ribosomal RNA
Source: RNAcentral
CAGCACCUCAGGUGGUCAGGAUGAUUAUUGGGCCUAAAGCAUCCGUAGCCGGCGCUGUAAGUUUUCGGUUAAAUCUGUAUGCUCAACAUACAGGCUGCCGGGAAUACUGCAGAGCUAGGGAGUGGGAGAGGUAGACGCUACUCGGUAGGAAGGGGUAAAAUCCUUUGAUCUAUUGAUGACCACCUGUGGCGAAGGCGGUCUACCAGAACACGUCCGACGGUGAGGGAUGAAAGCUGGGGGAGCAAACCGGAUUAGAUACCCGAGUAGUCC